GGAAUUUUCCGCAAUGGGCGAAAGCCUGACGGAGCAACGCCGCGUGAGGGAUGAAGGCCUCUGGGCUGUAAACCUCUUUUAUCAAGGAAGAAGAUCUGACGGUACUUGAUGAAUAGGCCACGGCUAAUUCCGUGCCAGCAGCCGCGGUAAUACGGGAGUGGCAAGCGUUAUCCGGAAUUAUUGGGCGUAAAGCGUCCGCAGGCGGUCUGUCAAGUCUGCUGUUAAAGCGUGGAGCUUAACUCCAUUUCGGCAGUGGAAACUGACAGACUAGAGUGUGGUAGGGGCAGAGGGAAUUCCCGGUGUAGCGGUGAAAUGCGUAGAUAUCGGGAAGAACACCAGUGGCGAAGGCGCUCUGCUGGGCCAUAACUGACGCUCAUGGACGAAAGCCAGGGGAGCGAAAGGGAUUAGAUACCCCAGUAGUC
Molecule: ribosomal RNA, 422 nt
Filed under: uncultured cyanobacterium
Lineage: Bacteria; Bacillati; Cyanobacteriota
Description: bacterial SSU rRNA
Rfam family: Bacterial small subunit ribosomal RNA
Source: RNAcentral